RNAcentral lists this ribosomal RNA (245 nucleotides) under uncultured bacterium. RNAcentral describes it as "partial 16S ribosomal RNA". It matches the Rfam family "Bacterial small subunit ribosomal RNA", at positions 524 to 767 of the family's 1533-position model. The record is from RNAcentral.
GACGAACCGUGCGAACGUUAUUCGGAAUCACUGGGCUUAAAGCGCGUGUAGGCGGCCCGGCACGUCUCCUGCUGAAAUCCCCCGGCUCAACCGGGGAACGGGCGGGGAUACGACCGGGCUGGAGGGGGGUAGGGGGCGCCGGAACUUCCGGUGGAGCGGUGAAAUGCGUUGAGAUCGGAAGGAACGCCCGUGGCGAAAGCGGGCGCCUGGACCCCGCCUGACGCUGAGACGCGAAAGCCAGGGGA